UAAUAAGUGUUUUAUGGCACUUUUUAAAUCCAUAUCCACCUUGUGUGCAAUGUCAGUCGAUCUUCUUCAUGGAGAUCGACCAAACAUCAACCUUUAUCUUUUAACUCUUUGUCUGAAAAAGUAUUAUGAAUAAACAAUUCAAAAUA
RNAcentral lists this unclassified non-coding RNA (146 nucleotides) under soil metagenome. RNAcentral's name for it is "partial internal transcribed spacer 1". The record is from RNAcentral.